GUCCCUAUACCUCAGUUGGAUAGAGGAAUCGCCUCCGAAGUGAUCAGCCGCUGGUUCGAAUCCAGUUAGGGACGCCA
RNAcentral lists this transfer RNA (77 nucleotides) under Candidatus Pelethenecus faecipullorum. RNAcentral's name for it is "tRNA-Arg". It matches the Rfam family "tRNA". From Rfam's summary of the family: Transfer RNA (tRNA) molecules are approximately 80 nucleotides in length. The record is from RNAcentral. Lineage: Bacteria; Bacillati; Mycoplasmatota; Mollicutes.